Molecule: ribosomal RNA, 465 nt
Filed under: Vreelandella stevensii
Lineage: Bacteria; Pseudomonadati; Pseudomonadota; Gammaproteobacteria; Oceanospirillales; Halomonadaceae
Description: partial 16S ribosomal RNA
Rfam family: Bacterial small subunit ribosomal RNA
Source: RNAcentral
CCUACGGGGGGCAGCAGUGGGGAAUAUUGGACAAUGGGGGGAACCCUGAUCCAGCCAUGCCGCGUGUGUGAAGAAGGCCCUCGGGUUGUAAAGCACUUUCAGUGAGGAAGAACGCCUGGUGGUUAAUACCCAUCAGGAAAGACAUCACUCACAGAAGAAGCACCGGCUAACUCCGUGCCAGCAGCCGCGGUAAUACGGAGGGUGCGAGCGUUAAUCGGAAUUACUGGGCGUAAAGCGCGCGUAGGUGGCUUGAUAAGCCGGUUGUGAAAGCCCCAGGCUCAACCUGGGAACGGCAUCCGGAACUGUCAAGCUAGAGUGCAGGAGAGGAAGGUAGAAUUCCCGGUGUAGCGGUGAAAUGCGUAGAGAUCGGGAGGAAUACCAGUGGCGAAGGCGGCCUUCUGGACUGACACUGACACUGAGGUGCGAAAGCGUGGGUAGCAAACAGGAUUAGAUACCCUGGUAGUC